RNAcentral lists this long non-coding RNA (994 nucleotides) under Anas platyrhynchos platyrhynchos (common mallard). RNAcentral's name for it is "lncRNA (ENSAPLG00000020520.1)". The record is from RNAcentral. Lineage: Eukaryota; Metazoa; Chordata; Aves; Anseriformes; Anatidae.
GGGAAAAGACGGUAGGAUAUGUACAUCUCUGCACGUAACUGAGUAAAUCAGAAAGUGGUGGGAGCAAUGGUUAUUCGUUGAGGGCACCUAUUUUGCCAUCAGUCCCAGUUGUGGGUUCCUGGACUCUGAAUGAGGUGACUCCUGUUCCUGUCCUGCCUCUGAUCCCAUCUGGGAUAUUCCCCAAAUCUCCUCCUACCUCAGUUUCCCUCUGUUGUCAGACAGAUAAAUAUUGUUUCCUCCCUUUGUAAAGCUCCCCAUGAAAUGCUGCUAAGACAGAGCAAGGUGUGGUGUUUUUAUGGCUGCUCUUUGCCUUGGGUUUGCAGAGGAAGCCUGCUCUCACCCCAAGGCACGGUGACCUGCCAGCACCAGCAGGAGGGAGCAGCCCCAGGACUCCCUGCAGAGGUAGCACUUUGAAGCAAAGGGUGUUGCAAGUGCAUAAAUCCCUUCCUACUAUGUGCUUCCUUGCCCUGGUGGCAUUUAUGGCUUGUUGCUGUGUUUUAGGAGCAUUAGGGAAAAUACAGAUAGUCUGGCAUUUUAUUACUCAUAUUUCUCUGCUCUUAAUGACUGAAUGGAGCACGACUUGCUAAUGAACUAGGCUGAAAUGAAUGCAUUUGUGGCACUAAUUGAAAUAAACCCAAGGUCUGGCUUUUCAAAAGGAGUAAAACCUCUAGCACUCUCAAAAAAAGAAAAGAAAAGAAAAGAAAAGAAAAGAAAAGAAAAGAAAAGAAAAGCCUCUUUUACUGUCUUUAACCCCUGCUUGUUGUCUUUCAGUACAGCUGCAUUUGGAUGCAACAGAGCAAGGCAGAUUCUGCUUGCGGGAACUAGGGAUUCAUGGUGCAGGAUGCUGGGGACUGGGCUUGGUGUUGCUCCCUUCCUCAUCUAUAAAAGCAGCUCAUUAGGGGCAGUAGGGUUCUCAGGUAGCAGAGGGUUAUGUGGAGAUGGCCUGGGAGCACAUGGAUGGAGGGUGAAACUGGUGCUCCUGAAAAUAAAAUAA